This 253-nucleotide ribosomal RNA is filed under the name uncultured bacterium. RNAcentral describes it as "partial 16S ribosomal RNA". It matches the Rfam family "Bacterial small subunit ribosomal RNA", at positions 524 to 776 of the family's 1533-position model. The record is from RNAcentral.
UACAGAGGGUGCGAGCGUUGUCCGGAAUCACUGGGCGUAAAGGGCGCGUAGGCGGCUUGAUAAGGUUGCGGUGAAAGCCCGGGGCUCAACCCCGGGUCGGCCGUGGCAACUGUCGAGCUGGAGCACUGUAGAGGCAGGUGGAAUUCCGGGUGUAGCGGUGGAAUGCGUAGAGAUCAGGAAGAACACCGGUGGCGAAGGCGGCCUGCUGGGCAGUGGCUGACGCUGAGGCGCGACAGCGUGGGGAGCAAACAGG